Long non-coding RNA from Hemiscyllium ocellatum (epaulette shark), 388 nucleotides. RefSeq lists it as uncharacterized. NCBI's taxonomy places the organism in Eukaryota, Metazoa, Chordata, Chondrichthyes, Orectolobiformes, Hemiscylliidae. The record is from RefSeq and is a predicted model, not a curated record. The transcript is spliced from 5 exons.
GGGACUCCUGGGAUUAUUCACUCUUGUGAUCAUUGUCUUACUCUCUCGACUAUACUGUCAGCAUAAAGCUUUAUCAAGGCUAAAAGAGUCACACAUAGUCACACGGAUGAAAGGAAAUGACUGUUUAUACGACGAAAUUGAAGCUCAGGAAAUAUCUACAGGUCCAAGGCACGAGACAGUUCUGCCAUUCAAAAGCCAAAUCUCCUGUGUACCUGUGUACAGCACAGUGCUGAGUGCUGGUACAGAAACCACCUCUUCAAGUCAACAUGUCUCCUAUGGCCAAGCCAUCUUUCAUUAGGAUUCCAAGAACUAUUGAAAAAACUGCACGAGGGCUCCACGAGGAAUGACCAAAGUGGUAAAGUGCAUGACAUGAAGUCAGUUUGUAUCU